Molecule: ribosomal RNA, 860 nt
Filed under: Lulworthiales sp. MV-2012B
Lineage: Eukaryota; Fungi; Ascomycota; Sordariomycetes; Lulworthiales
Description: partial large subunit ribosomal RNA
Rfam family: Eukaryotic large subunit ribosomal RNA
Source: RNAcentral
GGCGAGUGAAGCGGCAACAGCUCAAAUUUGAAAUCCGGCCUCGGCCCGAGUUGUAAUUUGCAGAGGAUGCUUCGGGCGACGCGGCCUUCCGAGUCCCCUGGAACGGGGCGCCGGAGAGGGUGAGAGCCCCGUACGGUCGGCUGCCGAGCUCGCGUGAAGCUCCUUCGAAGAGUCGAGUAGCUUGGGAAUGCUGCUCUAAGCGGGAGGUAAAUUCCUUCUAAAGCUAAAUAUCGGCCAGAGCCCGAUAGCGCACAAGUAGAGUGAUCGAAAGAUGAAAAGCACUUUGGAAAGAGGGUUAAACAGUACGUGAAAUUGCUGAAAGGGAAGCGCCUGCGACCAGACUCGGGCCCGGCGGAUCAUCCGAGCGUUUCUCGCCGGUGCACUCCGCCGCGGCCCGGGCCAGCAUCGGUUCCGGUGGGGGGAGAAAAGCCGGGGGAACGUAGCUCCUCCUCGAGGAGUGUUAUAGCCCCCGGCCCAAUGCCCCCGCGGGGACCGAGGACCGCGCCCCACCCCCCCUCCGGGGGGAGGCAAGGAUGCCGGCGUAAUGGUCGUCGGCGACCCGUCUUGAAACACGGACCAAGGAGUCGAACGUUCGUGCGAGUGUUCGGGUGGAAAACCCCUACGCGUAGUGAAAGCGGACGGAGGUGGGAGCCUCGGCGCACCAUCGACCGAUCCUGAGGCUAGACCGAUGGAUUUGAGUAGGAGCAUGACCGUUCGGACCCGAAAGAUGGUGAACUAUGCCUGCGUAGGGUGAAGCCAGAGGAAACUCUGGUGGAGGCUCGCAGCGGUUCUGACGUGCAAAUCGAUCGUCAAACGUGGGCAUGGGGGCGAAAGACUAAUCGAACCAUCUAGUAGCUGGU